RNAcentral lists this ribosomal RNA (563 nucleotides) under uncultured bacterium. RNAcentral's name for it is "partial 16S ribosomal RNA". It matches the Rfam family "Bacterial small subunit ribosomal RNA", at positions 355 to 1375 of the family's 1533-position model. The record is from RNAcentral.
UGGGGAAUAUUGGACAAUGGGCGCAAGCCUGAUCCAGCCAUGCCGCGUGAGUGAUGAAGGCCUUAGGGUUGUAAAGCUCUUUCGCCGACGAAGAUAAUGACGGUAGUCGGAGAAGAAGCCCCGGCUAACUUCGUGCCAGCAGCCGCGGUAAUACGAAGGGGGCUAGCGUUGUUCGGAAUCACUGGGCGUAAAGCGCACGUAGGCGGAUUGUUAAGUCAGGGGUGAAAGCCUGGAGCUCAACUCCAGAACUGCCCUUGAUACUGGCAAUCUCGAGUCCGGAAGAGGUAAGUGGAACUGCGAGUGUAGAGGUGAAAUUCGUAGAUAUUCGCAAGAACACCAGUGGCGAAGGCGGCUUACUGGUCCGGUACUGACGCUGAGGUGCGAAAGCGUGGGGAGCAAAACAGGAUUAGAUACCCUGGUAGUCCACGCCGUAAAACGAUGGAGGCUAGCCGUUGGCGAGCAUGCUCGUCAGUGGCGCAGCUAACGCAUUAAGCCUCCCGCCUGGGGAGUACGGUCGCAAGAUUAAAAACUUAAAUGAAUUGACGGGGUCAUAGCUGUUUCCU